This 27-nucleotide transfer RNA is filed under the name Oenomys hypoxanthus (rufous-nosed rat). Its description in RNAcentral is "partial tRNA-His". Lineage: Eukaryota; Metazoa; Chordata; Mammalia; Rodentia; Muridae. The record is from RNAcentral.
GUAAAUAUAGUUUAAAAAAAACAUUAG